Molecule: long non-coding RNA, 203 nt
Filed under: Elaeis guineensis (African oil palm)
Lineage: Eukaryota; Viridiplantae; Streptophyta; Magnoliopsida; Arecales; Arecaceae
Description: long non-coding RNA (EGUI_LNC033948)
Source: RNAcentral
UCCAGCAUCAAGGUGAAUAAAUUCGCAGGCGUACAUUAGAACCAGCAGUUAGAAGCACCAUAUUUGUUUUUCGAAUAAGAAUCAAGAAUUUUUGAGUAAUGCUGCAUUCCAGUUUGUACGAACUACACCAGGUGGUCAUACUGGUAAAGGUACUGGUAUCUGUUAUGCCCAAUAUACGUGUGCUGGACCAACAACAUGCAGGA